RNAcentral lists this ribosomal RNA (498 nucleotides) under uncultured bacterium. RNAcentral's name for it is "partial 16S ribosomal RNA". It matches the Rfam family "Bacterial small subunit ribosomal RNA", at positions 28 to 507 of the family's 1533-position model. The record is from RNAcentral.
GACGAACGCUGGCGGCGUGCUUAACACAUGCAAGUCGAACGAACAGUUAUGGAAUUUUUCUUCUAUCAUUCUUACUGGCGAACGAGUGACAAACGCGUAACCUACCUGUCCUUCUGGGGUAGCUAACGGAAGCAAACGCCUACUCAGGCCACAAUCGAACUCAUCAUGGCAUCGAGUUAAGAGGUAAGUUUGCCUUUCCAUUUAAGGUUGCACCCGAGGCGGGUAAGCUAGUUGGUGAGGUAACGGGCGACCAAGGCGACGACGAGUAGCCGGUUUGAGAGGAUGAACGGCCACACUGGGACUGAGACACGGCCCAGACUCCUACGGGAGGCAGCAGUAGGGAAUCUUCCGCAAUGGACGAAAGUCUGACGGAGCAACGCCGCGUGAGCGAUGACGGCCUUCGGGUUGUAAAGCUCUGUUAAUCGGGACGAAAGGGCUUCUUGCGAAUAGUGAGAAAGAUUGACGGUACCGGAACAGAAAGCCACGGCUAACUACGUG